RNAcentral lists this ribosomal RNA (253 nucleotides) under uncultured bacterium. Its description in RNAcentral is "partial 16S ribosomal RNA". It matches the Rfam family "Bacterial small subunit ribosomal RNA", at positions 524 to 776 of the family's 1533-position model. The record is from RNAcentral.
CACGUAGGGUGCGAGCGUUGUCCGGAAUUACUGGGCUUAAAGAGUUCGUAGGCGGCAUGAAAAGUAGGGUGUGAAAGCCCUCGGCUCAACCGAGGAAUUGCGCUCUAAACUGUCGUGCUCGAGGAAUCUAGAGGUGAGCGGAACUGAUGGUGGAGCGGUGAAAUGCGUUGAUAUCAUCAGGAACACCGGAGGCGAAGGCGGCUCACUGGGGAUUUUCUGACGCUGAGGAACGAAAGCCAGGGGAGCGAACGGG